UGGGGAAUAUUUCACAAUUGGCGCAAGCCUGAUGCAGCCAUGCCGCGUGUAUGAAGAAGGCCUUCGGGUUGUAAAGUACUUUCAGCGGGGAGGGAGGGAGUAAAGUUAAUACCUUUGCUCAUUGACGUUACCCGCAGAAGAAGCACCGGCUAACUCCGUGCCAGCAGCCGCGGUAAUACGGAGGGUGCAAGCGUUAAUCGGAAUUACUGGGCGUAAAGCGCACGCAGGCGGUCUGUCAAGUCGGAUGUGAAAUCCCCGGGCUUAACCUGGGAACUGCAUUCGAAACUGGCAGGCUAGAGUCUUGUAGAGGGGGGUAGAAUUCCAGGUGUAGCGGUGAAAUGCGUAGAGAUCUGGAGGAAUACCGGUGGCGAAGGCGGCCCCCUGGACAAAGACUGACGCUCAGGUGCGAAAGCGUGGGGAGCAAACAGG
Molecule: ribosomal RNA, 429 nt
Filed under: Chloroflexota bacterium
Lineage: Bacteria; Bacillati; Chloroflexota
Description: Chloroflexi bacterium partial 16S ribosomal RNA
Rfam family: Bacterial small subunit ribosomal RNA
Source: RNAcentral